CCUGGUGGCUUAGAUGGUAAAGAAUCUGCCUGCAAAGCAGGAGACCCAGGUUCAAUCCCUGGGUCAGGA
Molecule: transfer RNA, 69 nt
Filed under: Capra hircus (goat)
Lineage: Eukaryota; Metazoa; Chordata; Mammalia; Artiodactyla; Bovidae
Also listed under: 1 other name
Rfam family: tRNA
About the family: Transfer RNA (tRNA) molecules are approximately 80 nucleotides in length. Their secondary structure includes four short double-helical elements and three loops (D, anti-codon, and T loops).
Source: Rfam by way of RNAcentral